GACGAACGCUGGCGGCGUGCUUAACACAUGCAAGUCGAACGAUGAAGCCGGAGCUUGCUCUGGUGAAUUAGUGGCGAACGGGUGAGUAACACGUGAGUAACCUGCCCUUGACUCUGGGAUAACUGCUAGAAAUGGUAGCUAAUACCGGAUACGACCCUCGGAGGCAUCUCCAGGGGGGGGAAAGAAUUUCGGCCAAGGAUGGACUCGCGGCCUAUCAGCUAGUUGGUGAGGUAACGGCGCACCAAGGCGACGACGGGUAGCCGGCCUGAGAGGGUGACCGGCCACACUGGGACUGAGACACGGCCCAGACUCCUACGGGAGGCAGCAGUGGGGAAUAUUGCACAAUGGGCGCAAGCCUGAUGCAGCAACGCCGCGUGAGGGAUGACGGCCUUCGGGUUGUAAACCUCUUUUAGUAGGGAAGAAGCGAAAGUGACGGUACCUGCAGAAAAAGCACCGGCUAACUACGUGCCAGCCGCCGCCGUAA
Molecule: ribosomal RNA, 484 nt
Filed under: uncultured bacterium
Lineage: Bacteria
Description: partial 16S ribosomal RNA
Rfam family: Bacterial small subunit ribosomal RNA
Source: RNAcentral